This 635-nucleotide unclassified non-coding RNA is filed under the name Athalia rosae (coleseed sawfly). Its description in RNAcentral is "misc RNA ENSAEAG00005011697.1". Lineage: Eukaryota; Metazoa; Arthropoda; Insecta; Hymenoptera; Athaliidae. The record is from RNAcentral.
CACCGCGGUAGUUUCUUCUCGUCUGGAAUAUGUAUAAUAAUAUUUAUAAGCAGCGAGCAUACCAGAACCGCCUGUAAUAACUUAUGUGCUUGUAAAACUGCAGCAGCGAGAGCGGGGUGAAUAGAACGAAAAGGAAAAGAGAAUAGAAGAAGAUCGAACGCAGUUGUGAAAUCACGAGAUGAAAAAAAGGAAAAAUAACGCUCCGCACUAAACGUUAAAACAAACGCUCUUACACCGAUCGUAACUCUGAGGAUGGGCUCAUCUCUGAACCCAGAGGAUAUUAAAGAGGGCGAUGACGUCUAUUUCGAAUGCAACGUCAGAGCUAAUCCAAGAAGUUACAGACUGGCUUGGUUCCAUGAGACAGGGUGAGAAACAAUCCAGUGGGUACAUCGACAGAUUUCUGACCACUUGACCUCUACUCUCUGACUUCUGAGCAAACUCUCUAGGGAAUCGACGUACAGGUAUACCUAUACAAGACCGAAGAGAGAAAGAAGAGAGCCCACGAUAGUCUCGGAUAUCCAAAGCAACACAGCUGAAUUACCCUCAGGCUCUGCCCUGCCAGAUUCUUAAGCUCGCUACUGCGUCAUAUUACAUACCUUGUUUCAUUUCUCUGCCGUUGAUGACAAUUUUUUUUU